RNAcentral lists this ribosomal RNA (462 nucleotides) under uncultured bacterium. RNAcentral describes it as "partial 16S ribosomal RNA". It matches the Rfam family "Bacterial small subunit ribosomal RNA", at positions 29 to 506 of the family's 1533-position model. The record is from RNAcentral.
AGUGAACGCUGGCGGCGUGCUUAAUACAUGCAAGUCGAACGAUGAAGUCCUAGCUUGCUAGGAUGGAUUAGUGGCGCACGGGUGAGUAAUAUAUAGUUAAUCUGCCUUGCACUGAGGAACAACAGUUGGAAACGAUUGCUAAUACCUCAUACUCCAACUUUACAUAAGUUAAGUUGGGAAAGUCUUUUCGGUGCAAGAUGAGACUAUAUCGUAUCAGCUAGUUGGUAAGGUAAUGGCUUACCAAGGCUAUGACGCGUAACUGGUCUGAGAGGAUGAUCAGUCACAUUGGAACUGAGACACGGUCCAAACUCCUACGGGAGGCAGCAGUAAGGAAUAUUGUGCAAUGGGGGAAACCCUGACGCAGCAACGCCGCGUGGAGGAUGACACUUUUCGGAGCGUAAACUCCUUUUGUGAGGGAAGAAUAAUGACGGUACCUAACGAAUAAGCACCGGCUAACUCCGU